GAACGACGCUGGGCGGCAGGCCUAACACAUGCAAGUCGAGCGAACCCUUCGGGGUUAGCGGCGGACGGGUUAGUAACGCGUGGGAAUAUACCCUUUGGUACGGAAUAGCCUCGGGAAACUGAGAGUAAUACCGUAUGUGCCCUUCGGGGGAAAGAUUUAUCGCCAAAGGAUUAGCCCGCGUUGGAUUAGAUAGUUGGUGGGGUAAUGGCCUACCAAGUCUACGAUCCAUAGCUGGUUUGAGAGGAUGAUCAGCAACACUGGGACUGAGACACGGCCCAGACUCCUACGGGAGGCAGCAGUGGGGAAUCUUAGACAAUGGGCGCAAGCCUGAUCUAGCCAUGCCGCGUGGACGAUGAAGGCCUUAGGGUUGUAAAGUCCUUUCAGAUGGGAAGAUAAUGACGGUACCAUCAGAAGAAGCCCCGGCUAACUCCGUG
RNAcentral lists this ribosomal RNA (434 nucleotides) under uncultured bacterium. RNAcentral's name for it is "bacterial SSU rRNA". It matches the Rfam family "Bacterial small subunit ribosomal RNA", at positions 38 to 507 of the family's 1533-position model. The record is from RNAcentral.